This 255-nucleotide ribosomal RNA is filed under the name uncultured bacterium. RNAcentral's name for it is "partial 16S ribosomal RNA". It matches the Rfam family "Bacterial small subunit ribosomal RNA", at positions 524 to 776 of the family's 1533-position model. The record is from RNAcentral.
GACGUAGGGCGCGAGCGUUGUCCGGAUUUAUUGGGCGUAAAGAGCUCGUAGGCGGCUUGUCGCGUCGAAUGUGAAAACCCACGGCUCAACUGUGGGCUUGCAUUCGAUACGGGCAGGCUAGAGUUCGGUAGGGGAGAGUGGAAUUCCUGGUGUAGCGGUGGAAUGCGCAGAUAUCAGGAGGAACACCGGUGGCGAAGGCGGGUCUCUGGGCAGUAACUGACGCUGGAGGAGCGAAAGCCGUGGGGAGCAAACAGG